ACGCUGGCGGCAGGCCUAACACAUGCAAGUCGAGCGGUAGCACAGGGAGCUUGCUCCUGGGUGACGAGCGGCGGACGGGUGAGUAAUGUCUGGGAAACUGCCUGAUGGAGGGGGAUAACUACUGGAAACGGUAGCUAAUACCGCAUAACGUCUUCGGACCAAAGAGGGGGACCUUCGGGCCUCUUGCCAUCAGAUGUGCCCAGAUGGGAUUAGCUAGUAGGUGAGGUAAUGGCUCACCUAGGCGACGAUCCCUAGCUGGUCUGAGAGGAUGACCAGCCACACUGGAACUGAGACACGGUCCAGACUCCUACGGGAGGCAGCAGUGGGGAAUAUUGCACAAUGGGCGCAAGCCUGAUGCAGCCAUGCCGCGUGUAUGAAGAAGGCCUUCGGGUUGUAAAGUACUUUCAGCGAGGAGGAAGGCAUUGUGGUUAAUAACCCAGUGAUUGACGUUACUCGCAGAAGAAGCACCGGCUAACUCCGUGCCAGCAGCCGCGGUAAUACGGAGGGUGCAAGCGUUAAUCGGAAUUACUGGGCGUAAAGCGCACGCAGGCGGUCUGUCAAGUCGGAUGUGAAAUCCCCGGGCUCAACCUGGGAACUGCAUUCGAAACUGGCAGGCUAGAGUCUUGUAGAGGGGGGUAGAAUUCCAGGUGUAGCGGUGAAAUGCGUAGAGAUCUGGAGGAAUACCGGUGGCGAAGGCGGCCCCCUGGACAAAGACUGA
Molecule: ribosomal RNA, 718 nt
Filed under: Buttiauxella sp.
Lineage: Bacteria; Pseudomonadati; Pseudomonadota; Gammaproteobacteria; Enterobacterales; Enterobacteriaceae
Description: bacterial SSU rRNA
Rfam family: Bacterial small subunit ribosomal RNA
Source: RNAcentral